GCACCCGCGGUAAUUCCAGCACCAAUAGCGUAUAUUAAUGCUGCUGCAGUUAAAAAGCUCGUACUUGGAUCAAGAGUCGGACAGUGCAAGGUGGCCCUGUCUGUCCAGUUUGGUUCCGAUCAAGCUGGCGGCAGCGGGUAAACCCCUUGCGCCAAACUGUCCGCUCUCAACAGACCGAAACGGUUCCCUGUGAGUAGGUCCCUUAAUUGGAAUCGAAAGCGCCUACGCAUCAACCAUAUGCAUACGGGACGUCGGUCAAAGUUACUGUGAACAAACCAGCGUGUCCAAAGCAGGCUUGCGCCUGAAUGUUCGAGCAUGGAAUAACAAGGGAUCGAUCCUCUCGGUUCUUUUUGUUGGUUUUUAACCCGAGAAGGAGUAAUUCAGGCCACGGUGUCUGAGUUGGGUCCCCCUAGGCUCCGGGUCAGGCCCCAAUUAGGCCGUGCUCUAUCGGGAUCAAUAGGAGCUCACGGGGAGAUACGUAUUGUUGCGUUAGUGGUGAAAUACUUAGAUCGCAGCAAGACGAACUUCUGCGAAAGCAUUUCUCAAGAAUGUUUUCAUUAAUCAAGAACGAAAGUGCGGGGAUCGAAGAUGAUCAGAUACCGUCGUAGUCCGCCACUGUAAACGAUGCCGAUUCGGAAUUGCGAGCUCUCAUUAUAUGACUCUCGCAGCGCCACCCCUUUAACGAGAAAUCAAAAUUUUUGGGUUCAGGGGGGAGUACAAUCGCAAGGCUGAAACUUAAAGGAAUUGACGGAAUGACACCACAAGGCGUGGAGUAUGCGGCUUAAUUUGACCCAACACGGGGAACCUCACCAGGUCAGGACAAAGUGAGGAUUGACAGAUUGAGAGCUCUUUCUUGAUCCUUUGGAUGGUGGUGCAUGGCCGUUCCUGGUUGGUGGAGUGAUUUGUCUGGUUGAUUCCGUUAACGAACGAGAUCUCCGCCCUUACCUUAAAUAGGUGACAGUCUCGAAUGUAACCGAGUUGAAGGUUUCGGCCCGAUUCUUGGUGAGAGUGCUGUUGAACUUCUUAGGGGGACUGCGUACGUCUCUAGUACGCGGAAGAGGGAGCCAAUAGCAGGUCUGUGAUGCUCCUAAAUGUUCUGGGCUGCACGCGCACUACACUGAUACGGUAAGCUAGUCUGAUUGCCUUUCGGCAACCUAUCUUGAAGAGGAUGGGAAAUCUUUUGAACUUGCAUCGUGAUGAG
This 1201-nucleotide ribosomal RNA is filed under the name uncultured eukaryote. Its description in RNAcentral is "partial small subunit ribosomal RNA". It matches the Rfam family "Eukaryotic small subunit ribosomal RNA", at positions 570 to 1574 of the family's 1831-position model. The record is from RNAcentral.